Molecule: ribosomal RNA, 433 nt
Filed under: uncultured bacterium
Lineage: Bacteria
Description: partial 16S ribosomal RNA
Rfam family: Bacterial small subunit ribosomal RNA
Source: RNAcentral
AACGAACGCUGGCGGCAUGCCUAACACAUGCAAGUCGAACGAGACCUUCGGGUCUAGUGGCGCACGGGUGCGUAACGCGUGGGAACCUGCCCUUAGGUUCGGAAUAACUCCCCGAAAGGGGUGCUAAUACCGGAUAAUGUCUUCGGACCAAAGAUUUAUCGCCUUUGGAUGGGCCCGCGUUGGAUUAGCUAGUUGGUAGGGUAAAAGCCUACCAAGGCGACGAUCCAUAGCUGGUCUGAGAGGAUGAUCAGCCACACUGGGACUGAGACACGGCCCAGACUCCUACGGGAGGCAGCAGUGGGGAAUAUUGGACAAUGGGCGAAAGCCUGAUCCAGCAAUGCCGCGUGAGUGAUGAAGGCCUUAGGGUUGUAAAGCUCUCUUUCCCGGGAUGAUAAUGACAGUACCGGGAGAAUAAGCACCGGCUAACUCCGUG